AGUGGAUGUACCCUCGGUUCGAUG
This 24-nucleotide microRNA is filed under the name Ascaris suum (pig roundworm). RNAcentral describes it as "asu-miR-36a-5p". Its record names the gene asu-miR-36a-5p. Lineage: Eukaryota; Metazoa; Nematoda; Chromadorea; Rhabditida; Ascarididae. The record is from miRBase by way of RNAcentral.